AUUGAACGCUGGCGGCAGGCCUAACACAUGCAAGUCGAGCGGAUGAAGGGAGCUUGCUCCUGGAUUCAGCGGCGGACGGGUGAGUAAUGCCUAGGAAUCUGCCUGGUAGUGGGGAUAACGUCCGGAAACGGGCGCUAAUACCGCAUACGUCCUGAGGGAGAAAGUGGGGGAUCUUCGGACCUCACGCUAUCAGAUGAGCCUAGGUCGGAUUAGCUAGUUGGUGGGGUAAAGGCCUACCAAGGCGACGAUCCGUAAAUGGUCUGAGAGGAUGAUCAGUCACACUGGAACUGAGACACGGUCCAGACUCCUACGGGAGGCAGCAGUGGGGAAUAUUGGACAAUGGGCGAAAGCCUGAUCCAGCCAUGCCGCGUGUGUGAAGAAGGUCUUCGGAUUGUAAAGCACUUUAAGUUGGGAGGAAGGGCAGUAAGUUAAUACCUUGCUGUUUUGACGUUACCAACAGAAUAAGCACCGGCUAACUUCGUG
This 483-nucleotide ribosomal RNA is filed under the name uncultured bacterium. RNAcentral describes it as "partial 16S ribosomal RNA". It matches the Rfam family "Bacterial small subunit ribosomal RNA", at positions 30 to 507 of the family's 1533-position model. The record is from RNAcentral.